This is a non-coding RNA of Phrynosoma platyrhinos (Desert horned lizard), 70 nucleotides long. Lineage: Eukaryota; Metazoa; Chordata; Lepidosauria; Squamata; Phrynosomatidae. The record is from the annotation of a GenBank genome assembly.
ACCAGUGUGGCAUAGUGGUUUGAGUGUUGUACUGCCACUCAAGACCAGGGUUCAAUACCCAGCUUGGCCA